Molecule: long non-coding RNA, 820 nt
Organism: Scleropages formosus (Asian bonytongue)
Lineage: Eukaryota; Metazoa; Chordata; Actinopteri; Osteoglossiformes; Osteoglossidae
Exons: 5
Source: RefSeq, a predicted model, not a curated record
ACUAUGAGAUUCUAAACACCAUGUUACCUCCAAGUAACUGUGUUAAUUGUGACUCUCUGAAAUGGCGUUUCCUUUUGAAUCAGCAUUUCAGUUGUUUUCUCCUCUCUUCUCCUCAGGAUUUGGAAAGUAACUGCAAUGCAAAGAGUUCAUUGGUGCCAGAGAAUAUUUGGGUUUGAUUUUUGAAAGCCUGGAGCAGUUCCUGUGCUGCACAACGUGCUUGUUGAAUCAACCCGAGCUGUGACCAUUUCAGUCGAAGCCAGUUCUGAACACCUCGUUGCCAGCAAAUGUUGGGAUCUUUCAACUUGGCCCCCACAUCUGAGCCCAACACCAUCUGUGCCUUCUUUCUGCAGCAGAGUUGCAGAUUUUGCUAAUAAGAGCAAGGAAAAACAGGAAAGAGACUGUAAAACUUUUCAAAUUAAUUUAAAAUACCUUUUUUGCUUAAAUAUUUUUCUGCAAACAGAUUAGAAUGACCUACAUUCUUUUUUUGCUUGGAAAUAAUUUCAGCCCAAGAUGAGUCUGAGUGAAGCUGCUCUAGUGGUGGUCUGGUGGCACAGGCUGAGAACAUCCAUGAAAUGAACAGAGUCAAGAAAAAGCAAUGCUAGAACAGAAGAUAGACCUCACAUAUAUACUAUGUUGUUCUAAUGGGGAAUGGAACUAGCAAGAUCGGACUAGAUUGUCAGGGUUAAACAAAAAAGGAGAGGCAAUUCCAAGAAGAGGCUGGCAUCCACUGGUACUUGGUCCCUCACUGAUGAUGCAAGAAGAAAGCAGAGACCACCCACCUGUCCAGGAGUGUUUCCUGUGUGCCACAAGGCAUUGCGGA